UACGAAGGGGGCUAGCGUUGUCCGGAAUUACUGGGUGUAAAGGGAGCGUAGGCGGGAAUGUAAGUUGAAUGUUAAAUCUAUUGGCUCAACCAAUAGCCGCGUUCAAAACUACAUUUCUUGAGUGAAGUAGAGGUUGGCGGAAUUCCUAGUGUAGCGGUGAAAUGCGUAGAUAUUAGGAGGAACACCAGUGGCGAAGGCGGCCAACUGGGCUUUUACUGACGCUGAGGCUCGAAAGCGUGGGGAGCAAACAGG
RNAcentral lists this ribosomal RNA (252 nucleotides) under uncultured bacterium. Its description in RNAcentral is "partial 16S ribosomal RNA". It matches the Rfam family "Bacterial small subunit ribosomal RNA", at positions 524 to 776 of the family's 1533-position model. The record is from RNAcentral.